RNAcentral lists this transfer RNA (71 nucleotides) under Bos taurus (domestic cattle). It matches the Rfam family "tRNA". Rfam says of the family: Transfer RNA (tRNA) molecules are approximately 80 nucleotides in length. Their secondary structure includes four short double-helical elements and three loops (D, anti-codon, and T loops). The record is from Rfam by way of RNAcentral. Lineage: Eukaryota; Metazoa; Chordata; Mammalia; Artiodactyla; Bovidae. RNAcentral also lists the same sequence under 2 other names.
UCCCUAGUGGCUCAAGGGUAAAGAAUCUGCCUGCAAUGCGGAAGACCCAGGUUCCAUUCCUGGGUUGGGAC